AACGAACGCUGGCGGCAGGCCUAACACAUGCAAGUCGAACGCUCGUAGCAAUACGGGAGUGGCAGACGGGUGAGUAACACGUGGGAACCUUCCCUAUGGUUCGGAAUAGCUCAGGGGAAACUUGGGGUAAUACCGGAUAAACCCUUCGGGGGGAAAGAUUUAUCGCCAUCGGAUGGGCCCGCGUCGGAUUAGCUAGUUGGUGAGGUAACGGCUCACUAAGGCAACGAUCCGUAGCUGGUCUGAGAGGAUGAUCAGCCACACUGGGACUGAGACACGGCCCAGACUCCUACGGGAGGCAGCAGUGGGGAAUAUUGGACAAUGGGCGCAAGCCUGAUCCAGCCAUGCCGCGUGAGUGACGAAGGUCUUCGGAUUGUAAAACUCUUUGGCGGGACGAUAAUGACGGUACCCGCAGAAUAAGCCCCGGCUAACUUCGUGCCAGCAGCCGCCGUAAG
Molecule: ribosomal RNA, 452 nt
Filed under: uncultured bacterium
Lineage: Bacteria
Description: bacterial SSU rRNA
Rfam family: Bacterial small subunit ribosomal RNA
Source: RNAcentral